AGCUCUCAAACAUAUACUUUUCUUUAUUGCGAAGUAUAUGGUUGGAUUUGGACUCUGCUGUGUAACAAACGGCUGGUCCGAAAGAUAUUAGCUGAUCCUAGUGAGACUUGGUUCUACUCGGCGUGAUAAUUAUCUAACGUCGAGGACAUCGCAAGAUGGCCAGAUCGAAACUUUAUGGAUUGCUUCUAAUCGUCUUCAUCGACAAAUUUUAUCA
This 214-nucleotide unclassified non-coding RNA is filed under the name Sistotrema oblongisporum. RNAcentral's name for it is "partial internal transcribed spacer 2". Lineage: Eukaryota; Fungi; Basidiomycota; Agaricomycetes; Cantharellales; Hydnaceae. The record is from RNAcentral. RNAcentral also lists the same sequence under 1 other name.